AGAAUUUUCAGUGGGAAAACAAAAUUUACUUUUCAAUGGUGGUGUGGUGAAAUGGCGAACAAAAGGAGUGAAAAAAGUGAAUAAUUGCUAUUAAUGGUGAUUGAUAAAUGUAUUUAUUAAAAUAAGCACAAAACUUUAAAAUAAUUUACAAUGAAAUACUCUUCGCAUGCUGUGAAAUAUCUACACUUGUGGUUGAUGGAUCUCACCAAAUGAUAUUCAUCCGACAAAAUGAUAAUGAGCAGGUGAUGAUACAGUUUAACCAGAAAAAUAGCAGACUGAUCCCUCUUCGAGCUUGAACAUUAUAAAAAGUAAGCCCUUUUGGAUAUGUAAUUCAAGUGUGCCGGGGUACUCUACUGCUACCAUUAUUGUCUAAAGGCUGAAACAGGAUCAGAUGAAUGAAAUAAAAAAGUAAUCUGGAGCAGAUUAGGUGUAAAGCAAAUUUAUUAAGUUAGGAUAAGGGAAAACGCUACCUUUAGACAACUCAAGCUUCGAACAACUCAUUUUUCACAAUAUGUUUUUUUUUUUAAAUUAAUUUCACCCAUUUCUAAUAUUAUAUAGCUGUCUAAUGCCUGAAAUUUGCAGAAAAGAGCCAUGGGUCAAACUAAGGAGUUACGUGGGUUAAAAAAGAACUCAAAACCCUAUAUUUUCUUUAUUUUUUUUUAAGUAAUAAAUUUUGAUUUUUAUUCAAGCACUUAAGCAUGGUACAACGUUUUAUCUAUUUUUUCUAAAACUGUCAUUUUCAAAUUUUAAAAUUUCAGUCACAGACAGUUUUCACAGACAUAGACAAUUUUCGAAAAAGACAUUACUUUUUGAAAAAAUAUGUCGAGGAAAUAUGCUCUUUUUUAGUCUUUCUAACCCACGUAAACUUCUUAAGAAUAUAGAAAAAAAUAUUCCGUUGUCCGAACCUUGAAUCUUCCGAAGGUAGAGUGCUUUCCUUUACUAAUGUUAAGAUAUCCCAUAGCAAAAUGUCAUUGGAAUUGCUUUCUGAAGAAAAACUAUUAUAUACUGUUUUCCUAAACUUAAUAUAUAGCUCAUGAAAUUGUGAAAAAUCAUAUGACAAUUUUCUGAACUUUCAGAAGGAUAAAAAGUUGAGGUAGAGGUACGUGAGGCUAGCCCAACCCUCUUCUUCUCGUAAAUUAUGAUUAGUGAAUAUUUUUAACUUUCAAAUAAACACUCUCAGUUUAAGAAUUAAGUACAACAUUUUCUUCUGAGUACCUACAUAAGGAUAGAUCGAUAAAUCUCACUUGAAGUUUA
Molecule: long non-coding RNA, 1254 nt
Organism: Phlebotomus papatasi
Lineage: Eukaryota; Metazoa; Arthropoda; Insecta; Diptera; Psychodidae
Exons: 5
Source: RefSeq, a predicted model, not a curated record